AGAGUUUGAUCCUGGCUCAGAACGAACGCUGGCGGCAUGCCUAACACAUGCAAGUCGAACGAGAGCUUUCGGGCUCUAGUGGCGCACGGGUGCGUAACGCGUGGGAAUCUGCCCUUAGGUUGGGAAUAACUCAGGGAAACUUGAGCUAAUACCUGAUGAUGUCGCGAGACCAAAGAUUUAUCGCCUAGGGAUGAGCCCGCGUCGGAUUAGCUAGUUGGUAGGGUAAUGGCCUACCAAGGCGACGAUCAGUAGCUGGUCUGAGAGGAUGAUCAGCCACAUUGGGACUGAGACACGGCCCAAACUCCUACGGGAGGCAGCAGUGGGGAAUAUUGGACAAUGGGCGCAAGCCUGAUCCAGCCAUGCCGCGUGAGUGAUGAAGGCCUUAGGGUUGUAAAGCUCUUUCGGCGGGGACGAUAAUGACGGUACCCGCAGAAGAAGCCCCGGCUAACUUCGUGCCAGCAGCCGCGGUAAUACGAAGGGGGCUAGCGUUGUUCGGAAUCACUGGGCGUAAAGGGCGCGUAGGCGGCCUGAUAAGUCGGGGGUGAAAGCCUGUGGCUCAACCACAGAAUUGCCUUCGAUACUGUCGGGCUUGAGACCGGAAGAGGUCAGUGGAACUGCGAGUGUAGAGGUGAAAUUCGUAGAUAUUCGCAAGAACACCAGUGGCGAAGGCGGCUGACUGGUCCGGUUCUGACGCUGAGGCGCGAAAGCGUGGGGAGCAAACAGGAUUAGAUACCCUAGUAGUCC
This 744-nucleotide ribosomal RNA is filed under the name uncultured bacterium. Its description in RNAcentral is "bacterial SSU rRNA". It matches the Rfam family "Bacterial small subunit ribosomal RNA", at positions 8 to 796 of the family's 1533-position model. The record is from RNAcentral.